AAUGAACGCUGGCGGCGUGUUUAAGACAUGCAAGUCGAACGGAGUAACAUGAGUAGCGAUACAAGUGUUGCUCAGUGGCGCACGGGUGCGUAACACGUGAGUUACAUGCCCUGCAGAGAGGGAUAGCCCAGGGAAACUUGGAUUAAUACCUCAUGGUCUCGCAAGAGUAAAGAUGGCCGUAAGGCUGUCACUGCAGGAUUGGCUCGCGGCCUAUCAGCUAGUUGGUGAGGUAACGGCUCCCCAAGGCUACGACGGGUACCUGGUCUGAGAGGACGAUCAGGCACACUGGAACUGAGACACGGUCCAGACACCUACGGGUGGCAGCAGUCGAGAAUCAUUCACAAUGGGGGCAACCCUGAUGGUGCAACGCCGCGUGGAGGAAGAAGGUCUUCGGAUUGUAAACUCCUGUCAUCUAGGAGCAAGGCAUGGUGGUGAAUAGCCAACAUGAUUGAUAGUACUAGAAGAGGAAGGGACGGCUAACUUCGUGCCAGCCGCCGCCGUAACAC
This 506-nucleotide ribosomal RNA is filed under the name uncultured bacterium. RNAcentral's name for it is "bacterial SSU rRNA". It matches the Rfam family "Bacterial small subunit ribosomal RNA", at positions 29 to 526 of the family's 1533-position model. The record is from RNAcentral.